RNAcentral lists this long non-coding RNA (1409 nucleotides) under Felis catus (domestic cat). RNAcentral's name for it is "lncRNA (ENSFCAG00000053410.1)". The record is from RNAcentral. Lineage: Eukaryota; Metazoa; Chordata; Mammalia; Carnivora; Felidae.
GAUGCUAAGGUCCUGCCACCCCUGCACGCAGCUCCCCUGCCCACCAGGACAUCCUACCCUUCCCUGGCUUGCUUCUCCCUGGGCCUUGAGGGGCUUGUGGUAGGGCUCUGGUCAGGGCUGUCUUUGUGCCUGCCUCAUUCUGCCCAUCUUGUCCUCACUCUGUACCAGCCCCUCACCAGCCUCGCCUCCAGAAAGCCUCCCUCCAGUUCAGGUUCGUCUUUAAUUCGCAGCUCAUUAGCAGAUCAAAGAAGAUGGAGAUGCCUGGGUCCAAGAUACCCCCAGGCAGCCCUCUCCUCACACUCACAAGGCACCCCUGUUGGCUCCAGGCAAGGGACUCCCCCUCCGUUGCUCUGUGAAGCCUGAGCCGGGACCUGGCUCCAGACUCCUCCCUCUGUAACUGGGCCAGAGAUUCAGCUGGUGGCGGGGGAGGGGAGGGGUGGUUGCUGAGGCCAAGGCACUGGGAAGCAGCCUCGGCCCCCUCCUCCGGAGCAGGAGAAGGACAAGGACAGUUAAUUCCUCUGGUGUUAUCAGCUGGGCACAGGCGCUGGUUGCAUAGCAACCCAGAUUGCUCUCUGUCUCCAGUGCUCCAAAAAAAAAAAAAAAAAAAUUCAGCAUUUCCUCCAACUCCACAUCAAUGAGACAGAAAUGGACCCCGGGGCAGCCCAGACUCCCCACCUCCCAGCGAGCGCAUGGCUCUUUGCAGGAAGCCUCUACCCAACCCCCUUGGUGGGGGUCCCCGCUCUUAAAGUCCACACCCACCUCACAACCACCUCUUCCCUCCUGGAUGCCAGACUGAGUCCCCAGGUUCUGAUUUCUGAGAGAGACUGCCGGCCAAUUUCCCGUGUGUGAUGACUGGAGAAGGUUCUGCCGUGCACCCGUGGAUUCGCUGAUGGGACAGUUAUGAGAAGGAAUCCCCCGGAAGCAUCCUCCACCCCUUCACCGUACUCUUUGUCUGAUGGACUCCCACAAGCUCCGGGCCUCGCUGGGAUGCCACUUCUUCCAUGAAGCCCUCCCUGACUGUCACUCCCCUCCCCCCCAUGUGUAUGGUGCUCCCUCCCCCAUGUCCGUGAACCCCCAGCCCCCUCAAACAUCCCCCCUGCAGUACCUUUGCGCUGUUCUCUAAUCCUUUAACUGUCUCUUUCUCCACCACAGGCAGGGCUGGUGUGCACCUUGCUCGGUAAGGCACCCCCAGCACCCUGCCCAGCGUCACCCCCGUUCUAGCAGUGUGUCAUUCCAGGAUCGUGCCAAAGGCUGCACAGUCACCUGAUAAUGCCCUACUGAGGUGGGCGCUAUUGUUCCCAUCAUGACUUUGUAGAUGAGGAUCUAGGCACAGGAAGUCAGAUACAGCUACCACUCAGCCCGCCUCCAACAGUAAACACAUUUUGUUUUGUUAGUACCGUGAUUCUUAU